This 240-nucleotide ribosomal RNA is filed under the name Escherichia coli. RNAcentral's name for it is "partial 23S ribosomal RNA". It matches the Rfam family "Bacterial large subunit ribosomal RNA", at positions 1121 to 1360 of the family's 2925-position model. The record is from RNAcentral. Lineage: Bacteria; Pseudomonadati; Pseudomonadota; Gammaproteobacteria; Enterobacterales; Enterobacteriaceae.
AUUUAAAGAAAGCGUAAUAGCUCACUGGUCGAGUCGGCCUGCGCGGAAGAUGUAACGGGGCUAAACCAUGCACCGAAGCUGCGGCAGCGACACUAUGUGUUGUUGGGUAGGGGAGCGUUCUGUAAGCCUGCGAAGGUGUGCUGUGAGGCAUGCUGGAGGUAUCAGAAGUGCGAAUGCUGACAUAAGUAACGAUAAAGCGGGUGAAAAGCCCGCUCGCCGGAAGACCAAGGGUUCCUGUCC